UACGGAGGGUGCAAGCGUUUAUCCGGAAUCAUUGGGUUUAAAGGGUCCGCAGGCGGAUUUAUAAGUCAGUGGUGAAAGCCCGUUGCUCAACAACGGAACUGCCAUUGAUACUGUAAGUCUUGAAUUCGGUCGAAGUGGGCGGAAUAUGACAUGUAGCGGUGAAAUGCUUAGAUAUGUCAUAGAACACCGAUAGCGAAGGCAGCUCACUAGGCCUGGAAUUGACGCUCAGGGACGAAAGCGUGGGGAGCAAACAGG
RNAcentral lists this ribosomal RNA (255 nucleotides) under uncultured bacterium. RNAcentral's name for it is "partial 16S ribosomal RNA". It matches the Rfam family "Bacterial small subunit ribosomal RNA", at positions 524 to 776 of the family's 1533-position model. The record is from RNAcentral.